AUGAACGCUGGCGGCGUGCCUAAUACAUGCAAGUCGAGCGAACAGACGAGGAGCUUGCUCCUCUGACGUUAGCGGCGGACGGGUGAGUAACACGUGGAUAACCUACCUAUAAGACUGGGAUAACUUCGGGAAACCGGAGCUAAUACCGGAUAAUAUAUUGAACCGCAUGGUUCAAUAGUGAAAGACGGUUUUGCUGUCACUUAUAGAUGGAUCCGCGCCGCAUUAGCUAGUUGGUAAGGUAACGGCUUACCAAGGCAACGAUGCGUAGCCGACCUGAGAGGGUGAUCGGCCACACUGGAACUGAGACACGGUCCAGACUCCUACGGGAGGCAGCAGUAGGGAAUCUUCCGCAAUGGGCGAAAGAUUGACGGAGCAACGACGCGUGAGUGAUGAAGGUCUUCGGAUCGUAAAACUCUGUUAUUAGGGAAGAACAAAUGUGUAAGUAACUAUGCACGUCUUGACGGUACCUAAUCAGAAAGCCACGGCUAACUACGUG
RNAcentral lists this ribosomal RNA (496 nucleotides) under uncultured bacterium. RNAcentral describes it as "partial 16S ribosomal RNA". It matches the Rfam family "Bacterial small subunit ribosomal RNA", at positions 29 to 507 of the family's 1533-position model. The record is from RNAcentral.